UACGUAGGGUGCGAGCGUUGUCCGGAAUUAUUGGGCGUAAAGGGCUCGUAGGCGGUCUGUCGCGUCGGGAGUGAAAACUCAGGGCUUAACUGUGGGCGUGCGGGCGAUACGGGCAGACUGGAGUACUGCAGGGGAGACUGGAAUUCCUGGUGUAGCGGUGGAAUGCGCAGAUAUCAGGAGGAACACCGGUGGCGAAGGCGGGUCUCUGGGCAGUAACUGACGCUGAGGAGCGAAAGCGUGGGGAGCGAACAGG
Molecule: ribosomal RNA, 253 nt
Filed under: uncultured bacterium
Lineage: Bacteria
Description: partial 16S ribosomal RNA
Rfam family: Bacterial small subunit ribosomal RNA
Source: RNAcentral